Molecule: ribosomal RNA, 479 nt
Filed under: uncultured bacterium
Lineage: Bacteria
Description: bacterial SSU rRNA
Rfam family: Bacterial small subunit ribosomal RNA
Source: RNAcentral
UGGCGAACGGGUGAGUAACACGUGGGGAAUCUGCCUAUAAGUGGGGGAUAACGUUCGGAAACGGAUGCUAAUACCGCAUAUAUUCAAAAACCGCAUGGUUUCUGAAAGAAAGACGGCUUUGCUGUCGCUUAUAGAUGAUCCCGCGGCGUAUUAGUUAGUUGGUGGGGUAAUGGCCUACCAAGACCAUGAUACGUAGCCGACCUGAGAGGGUGAUCGGCCACACUGGGACUGAGACACGGCCCAGACUCCUACGGGAGGCAGCAGUAGGGAAUCUUCCACAAUGGGUGCAAACCUGAUGGAGCAAUGCCGCGUGAAUGAAGAAGGUCUUCGGAUCGUAAAGUUCUGUUAUUAGAGAAGAACAAGUCAAGGAGUAACUGUCUUGACUUUGACGGUACCUAACCAGAAAGUCACGGCUAACUACGUGCCAGCAGCCGCGGUAAUACGUAGGUGACAAGCGUUGUCCGGAAUUAUUGGGCGUA